AUUCCUACGGGAGGCAGCAGUGAGGAAUAUUGGACAAUGGACGAAAGUCUGAUCCAGCUAUGCCGCGUGCAGGAUGACGGCCCUAUGGGUUGUAAACUGCUUUUAUACAGGAAGAAAAACUCCGACGUGUCGGAACUUGACGGUACUGUAAGAAUAAGGAUCGGCUAACUCCGUGCCAGCAGCCGCGGUAAUACGGAGGAUCCAAGCGUUAUCCGGAAUCAUUGGGUUUAAAGGGUCCGUAGGCGGUUUUUUAAGUCAGAGGUGAAAUCCUGCAGCUCAACUGUAGAAUUGCCUUUGAUACUGAAAGACUUGAGUUAUUGUGAAGUGGUUAGAAUGUGUGGUGUAGCGGUGAAAUGCAUAGAUAUCACACAGAAUACCAAUUGCGAAGGCAGAUCACUAACAAUAUACUGACGCUCAGGGACGAAAGCGUGGGUAGCGAACAGGAUUAGAUACCCUGGUAGUCCACGCCGUAAACGAUGGAUACUAGCUGUAUGUCUACUUCAGGUAGAUGUGUGGCUAAGCGAAAGUGAUAAGUAUCCCACCUGGGGAGUACGAUCGCAAGAUUGAAACUCAAAGGAAUUGACGGAAUCUC
Molecule: ribosomal RNA, 592 nt
Filed under: uncultured bacterium
Lineage: Bacteria
Description: bacterial SSU rRNA
Rfam family: Bacterial small subunit ribosomal RNA
Source: RNAcentral